GUGGGGAAUCUUGCGCAAUGGGCGAAAGCCUGACGCAGCCAUGCCGCGUGGAUGAUGAAGGUCUUAGGAUUGUAAAAUCCUUUCACCGGUGAAGAUAAUGACUGUAGCCGGAGAAGAAGCCCCGGCUAACUUCGUGCCAGCAGCCGCGGUAAUACGAAGGGGGCUAGCGUUGCUCGGAAUUACUGGGCGUAAAGGGCGCGUAGGCGGACAGCUUAGUCAGAGGUGAAAGCCCAGGGCUCAACCUUGGAAUUGCCUUUGAUACUGGCUGUCUUGAGUUUGGGAGAGGUGAGUGGAACUCCGAGUGUAGAGGUGAAAUUCGUAGAUAUUCGGAAGAACACCAGUGGCGAAGGCGACUCACUGGCCCAAUACUGACGCUGAGGCGCGAAAGCGUGGGGAGCAAACAGGAUUAGAUACCCGGGUAGUCC
RNAcentral lists this ribosomal RNA (425 nucleotides) under uncultured bacterium. RNAcentral describes it as "partial 16S ribosomal RNA". It matches the Rfam family "Bacterial small subunit ribosomal RNA", at positions 354 to 796 of the family's 1533-position model. The record is from RNAcentral.